Molecule: ribosomal RNA, 257 nt
Filed under: uncultured bacterium
Lineage: Bacteria
Description: partial small subunit ribosomal RNA
Rfam family: Bacterial small subunit ribosomal RNA
Source: RNAcentral
AGGACGAACGCUGGCGGCGUGCUUAACACAUGCAAGUCGAGCGGAAAGGCCCUUCGGGGUACUCGAGCGGCGAACGGGUGAGUAACACGUGAGUAACCUGCCCUGGACUUUGGGAUAACCCUCGGAAACGGGGGCUAAUACCGAAUAUUACUUGGCCUCGCAUGGGGUGUUGUUGAAAGUUUUUCGGCUGGGGAUGGGCCCGCGGCCUAUCAGCUUGUUGGUGGGGUGAUGGCCUACCAAGGCGACGACGGGUAGCC